This 1214-nucleotide unclassified non-coding RNA is filed under the name Hevea brasiliensis (rubber tree). Lineage: Eukaryota; Viridiplantae; Streptophyta; Magnoliopsida; Malpighiales; Euphorbiaceae. The record is from RNAcentral.
CAGAGCACCACCCCCGGGUUUUGCUUCUCAUUUUGAGAGAAUGGAACAAAAUUUUGACUCUCUUCAUGCGAAUAACUUGCGUGAUGCCUCCUCAUUGCACAAUCUACACCAGGCUCCUCAAGUUGGACAUGUGAGUAAUGGAGAUAUUGAGUUUAUGGAUCCUGCUAUUCUGGCAGUUGGUAAAGGGUUUCCUAAUGGCCUUCAUCUCUCAAACUUGGACAUGUCUUCAAGUUGUCCUCCACAAUCAAAUACUUUACAAAAUGAGGGAAGGCUUCAAUUACUGAUGCAAAGAUCUGUAGCUGCGCAUCAGAACCAGAGUUUUUCUGAUACGAGGAAUAUGUUUUCACUGGUCAGUGAUGCUUAUGGAAUGUCUUCCCGGGGUGUGGAGCAAACUCUGGCCAACAAUCAUCCCCCAUUUGAUGGAUUUUCUUCUAGGGCUCUGGAGCAAACUCUGGUCAACCAUCAAUCUCCAUAUUCACAGCUCACUCUUUCCCUGGGUAGAAACUCUGUCAUGUCAAAUGGCCACUGGGACAGUUGGAAUGGGGUUCAGAGUGGAAACAGUUUGGGUGUAGCGGAACACCCCCGAACAGAAAAUAUGGGCUUUAACAAGGUAUUUACCGGAUAUGAGGAAUCAAAGAUUCAUAUGCCCAAUUCUGGCAAUUUGUAUAAUAGAACAUUUGGGAUGUAAUUUUGGAUCAGUGGUUCUUUUGAGCUGAGUAGCUAUUAAAGAAUCAAUGAACCAGAAUGAUCACGUGAUUUAACUGAAUUGAUCUUAUGAUGUUCGAAUGACUAAGAGGACACGAGGAAACACAACAGUCUUGCUCUCUGAAAGGCGAGGUUGGUUCACGCCGUCUGCAUGAAGUUGGCUUUCAGAUUGGUGAAGGAACAACCCUCCUAGAAAAAGGGUAUCCAGAAACCAACAGUUGAAAGCUGAGGUCGAGGCUCAACAUGGUGGUUUAGACACAGCUUCAUGCUUGACUGAAUAGGCAGGUGAUUCUCCUGUCAGCGUCCUUGGAUGUGGGUGGAGAAUUUGGUCAUCUAUACACAUUAGAAUCAGAAAAAAGAUUAUUGAACACAGCUCAUUUUUUUUUCUUUCAAGAAAGCAAUAAUGCUGUAGCUUGUUUGCGGGAAUGCAAGUCAUGUUCCAACUAUGAGAUGGAUGAGAUUACUAGUGCAUUUUGACCAGAUAAACAUCUCAUUUUUAGUUGAAGAUG